This is an RNA transcript of Haliotis rubra (blacklip abalone), 1310 nucleotides long. RefSeq lists it as uncharacterized. Lineage: Eukaryota; Metazoa; Mollusca; Gastropoda; Lepetellida; Haliotidae. The transcript is spliced from 5 exons. The record is from RefSeq and is a predicted model, not a curated record.
UUCCAAGAUGGCUGUCCUAGUGGCGUGUGACAAAUGGCGGGAGUUGCUGUCAAUCCUGAAAUCCCAGCUCCCAGACAGUGCUACUAUAUAUGGCCAAUUAAAGACUUCUGUGAGCGGUGAAUGGCCAUACUACUCCUUUUGGGUUGACCAAUGGCCGAGAGUUACCGCGGUGGUAGCCACGCCCAUGUCCGACGUUAUGGAUUCCUUCAGCGGGAGGUUUCACGUUAUCCACGGACAGGAAGCGGAAGUUGUUUCCAGGCUUCUUCAACAUCCGGGCGUCCUGGACAGGAAGCGGGCGAUGACCUUCGACUUACCUCCCCAUCUUCUGCCCGCCCUUCGCCAUUUGUCCGCUGGGGAGAGAGGUGCCAUUACUACCGACGAAACCGGCAACGUGAACACUGUCGACGAGGGAGGCCUAAUUACCGUGUAUGUGCUCGUAUAGCGGAGAAACGGUGUUGUAGGCGUACGUUGGCUGGUCAUUAAGGCAGGGCUUCACUACAGAAAUAUGCUAUUCCUCAACUUGUGCUUUUGUCUUUGUCCGUCCUGUCCCAGACAACAUGGCCGUGGGUCACGUGACUCGUGAUGACGUCACAUCCGUAUGCGCCACUUGGGAAUACAGUGAACCUGGGGUAACCUCUCUUCGUACAGAGGCUUGUGGAAAUCAGUCUACCGAGUGUAUGCGUGCGCACAUCAGACAACCAGCAGCAAGUUGCGCACGCACUUGUCCAGCCUCAUCAAAUGGUCGGCAUGUUGUACGUCGACGUCAACUUCCGGCGUCGCGGCUUGGGUCGAUUUGUUGUCAGUCAUUUGGCAAAACAGAUCUUGAUGACGUCACCGAUAGCAGCGGCCAAAUCAGAACACUCCAAUUACGCGUCGCAAGCACUGAUGAAAAGUCUGGGGUUUGAAUCUCGUUGUAAAUACGUGAUUGUUUCAUUCACUCCAAAUGAACAGUCCUGAGUGCUUUGAUGUAAGCUGUGCUUAAUUUUACAGCAAUAACAAUAACAAGCAUGGGCUGCAGAAGACCAGUUCUAACCCGGAUCUUCACGGGUAUCCCGCUGAUGUAUUGCGAGGAUCGAUGCUCAUGAUAUCUAUCACUGGAUUGUCUGGUCCAGAGGUGAUUAUUAAUGACUGCCGUCAUAUAGCUGGAAUAUUGCGGCGUUAAACAAACAAACAAACAGUCAUGAAAAUGCUGGAAAUCAUUUGUGCUUUUUUCAUAUAUUGUUGCUUUUAUGUUUAUGCUGUUGCCUGUAUUCAUUGUAUAUUGAUAAUUUGACACUAUUGACAGAAAAUAAAGCUGAUUUUACAAGAAA